ACCCAGCUGAUGUUUCCCAAAUAGGACGAAACGCGCGUCAUACUGGAU
Schistosoma rodhaini is the source of this 48-nucleotide non-coding RNA. The record is from Rfam. NCBI's taxonomy places the organism in Eukaryota, Metazoa, Platyhelminthes, Trematoda, Strigeidida, Schistosomatidae.